GGGUUUGACUAGGCCAUGCGAGUCGAGAGGUUCAAGACCUCGGCGUACUGCUCAGUAACACGUGGACAAUCUGCCCUGAAGUGGAGGAUAAUCCCGGGAAACUGGGGGUAAUACUCCAUAGUUCGUGCUGACUGGAAUGUUAUGCGAACGAAAGAUCCGUCGCUUCAGGAUGAGUCUGCGGCCGAUUAGGUAGUUGUUGGGGUAACGGCCCAACAAGCCUGUCAUCGGUACGGGUUGUGGGAGCAAGAGCCCGGAGAUGGAUUCUGAGACACGAAUCCAGGCCCUACGGGGCGCAGCAGGCGCGAAAACUUUACCACGCGGGCAACCGUGAUAAGGAAACCCCGAGUGCCAGCACAGGCUGCUGUCCGCCAGUGUAAAUAACUGGUGAAGAAAGGGCCGGGCAAGACCGGUGCCAGCCGCCGCGGUAAUACCGGCGGCUCGAGUGGUGGCCGCUAUUACUGGGCUUAAAGGGUCCGUAGCUGGAUGUACAAGUCCCUUGAGAAA
This 504-nucleotide ribosomal RNA is filed under the name methanogenic archaeon F4/P-1. RNAcentral describes it as "bacterial SSU rRNA". It matches the Rfam family "Archaeal small subunit ribosomal RNA", at positions 36 to 549 of the family's 1478-position model. Lineage: Archaea; Methanobacteriati; Methanobacteriota. The record is from RNAcentral.